UGCAGGGCUCAAUCUUGAGAUUAUGACCUUGAGAUAAUGACCUGAGCUGAAAUCAAGAGUUGGGAACCACCCAGGUGCCCCUGUGGUAUUUGACCUUUAAAAAUCUUGUGCAUGUGUUACUUUUUUUAUUUGAAAAAAUCAUUUCAAAAAGAAAUUAAGUCAGGUUUAGAAAAUUUAUUAACUUGUCUAAGAUCCCACAGCUCAUAUUCCAUGACAGCAAUCACCAGUAUAAUUAGAAUAGAAAUUCUUACAAAGAAUCAGGUUUUAGUAAGGGGUGUUGGAUAUCAUCUAAUACCUUCAUUGUACAAAUGAGAUAACAGACUCACAGGGGUAAGGUAGUCACCCCAAGUCAGGAUGUCCAUCAGAAGCAGUCCUCCUAAUCCAAGAUAUGCUGUUCAGAGUAGGUCACAGAAGAGGACUCUUGCCCCUCAACAAAGAGUGAGGCUUGAAUCCUUCCUGCAAAAAAGGGGAUUUAAGUUCUUCUAUGUCUCACGUAUCUAUACUGCCUACUAGUAGGGAAUGGGGCCAUUGAGCCUGAUGUCACUGUUUCUGUUUAUCUGAAACCAUGUAGCAAAUCUUCAGCACCUAUCUCAAUUUUUACUUCCAAGAAAAUGUCUCUGAUUGCCUUAAUACAUCCGUAUCCCUACUUGAUUCUUAACUCUUAUAAAUGUUAGUAUUUAAAGCACAUAAGGAGCAACCCGAGAAUGUGAGACAUCGUAUAGCUAUGUCAGUUUAUGAAUCCAUUCUUCCCACUAGUGUAAGCUCCAGGAAGACAGGAAUCGGGAGGUUGAUUCCAUGCAGUAGGUACACAAUAGAUAACUGACUGGAUUAAUUGAGUUGAAAAGUAGCUGUGGUAUGAGAUGUAAGUUGUUUGUUUGUUUUUUGAGAUGUAAGUUUUUCAAAAGGUUUCUCUUCGCCUCCCAGCAGAGAUGCCUACUGGAUCACAGAACAUUGAAAUUGUUGGAAGUUGUGACUGUCCUACCCCCCAGUCACCAAGAGCCAAAUGGGAAGUUUCACAAGAAUGUAGAUGGUCCGUCUUGGCUCACCAUUUUAAUCUCCGCACCAAGCCUGGUAUUCAGAUGGAAACAGAGGCAAAAAGAGGUGUGGUUCUUAAAGACAAAACUGAGGGUGCGCCUGGGUGGCUCAGUCGUUAAGCGUCUGCCUUCAGCUCGGGUCAUGAU
Long non-coding RNA from Mustela erminea (ermine), 1181 nucleotides. RefSeq lists it as uncharacterized. The record is from RefSeq and is a predicted model, not a curated record. The transcript is spliced from 3 exons. NCBI's taxonomy places the organism in Eukaryota, Metazoa, Chordata, Mammalia, Carnivora, Mustelidae.